UCCCGUCUUGCUCUUUCUUCUCUCUCCUGCCACCAUGUGAUGAAGGACAUAUUUGCUUCCCCUUCCACCUUGGUUGUGUUUCCUGAGGCCUCCGCAGCCUUGCAGAAUGAUGCAUUAUAUUCUUUAACCCUCACAACAACUUGAAUCUCCCUCUGUCGUCCAGGCUGGAGUACAGUGGUAUGAUUUCAGCUCACUGCAACCUCCGCCACCCGGGUUCAAGCGAUUCUCCUUCCUCAGCUUCCUGAGUAGCUGGGACUACAGACAUGUGCCACCGUGCUUGGCUAAUUUUUGUAUUUUUAGUAGACACGGGGUUUUACCAUGUUGGCCAAGCUGGUCUUGAUCUCCUGACCUCGUGAUCCACUCACCUCGGCCUCCCAAAGUGCUGAGAUGACAGGCAUAAGCCACC
Long non-coding RNA from Pongo pygmaeus (Bornean orangutan), 406 nucleotides. RefSeq lists it as uncharacterized. Lineage: Eukaryota; Metazoa; Chordata; Mammalia; Primates; Hominidae. The transcript has 3 exons. The record is from RefSeq and is a predicted model, not a curated record.